This 4183-nucleotide unclassified non-coding RNA is filed under the name Bos taurus (domestic cattle). Its description in RNAcentral is "chromosome 3 open reading frame 38 ortholog". The record is from RNAcentral. Lineage: Eukaryota; Metazoa; Chordata; Mammalia; Artiodactyla; Bovidae.
CAUCAGCCAGUGCAUCAUUCCCAGAUGAAUGUGAGCACGUACAAUAUGUUUUGAGUAGCCUUGCUUUGAGUUUCUUUGAGUUGCUGCUGUUCUUUGGAAGAGAUGAAUUUUAUGAAGAGCCCUUAAAGGAUAUUCUUGGAUCAUUCCAGGAAUGCCAGAAUCACCUCCGCAGAUAUGGAAAUGUGAAUCUGGAACUGGUGACUCGAAUCAUUAGAGAUGGUGGCCCAUGGGAAGAUCCUGUGUUGCAAGCUGUUCUAAAAGCCCAGCCCGCAUCUCAGGAGAUAGUGAACAAAUAUUUAAGUUCUGAAAAUCCACUAUUCUUUGAACUACGUGCCAGAUACCUAAUUGCUUGUGAACGCAUACCUGAAGCAAUGGCUCUUAUUAAAUGUUGUAUAAAUCACCCAGAAAUCAGUAAAGACUUGUACUUCCAUCAAGCACUCUUCACCUGUCUGUUUAUGUCACCUGUAGAAGAUCACCUAUUCCGAGAGCAUUUACUGAAAACUGAUUGUAAGAGUGGAAUUGAUAUCAUCUGUAACACUGAAAAAGAAGGAAAGACUAUGUUAGCCUUGCAACUCUGUGAAUCCUUUCUUAUUUCACAGCUCCAGAAUGGGGAUAUGUACUGUAUCUGGGAGUUGAUUUUCAUAUGGAGUAAACUUCAGCUAAAGUCUAAUCCUUCAAAACAAGUUUUUGUAGAUCAGUGCUACCAGCUUUUAAGAACAGCAACUAAUGUGAGAGUCAUAUUUCCUUUCAUGAAAAUCAUUAAAGAUGAGGUUGAAGAAGAAGGCUUACAAAUUUGUGUUGAAAUAUGUGGUUGUGCUCUACAACUAGAUCUUCAUGAUGAUCCCAAAACUAAAUGUCUAAUUUAUAAAACAAUUGCACAUUUUUUACCAAAUGAUUUGGAGAUUCUCAGGAUUUGUGCACUCUCGAUAUUUUUUCUUGAACGCUCCUUGGAAGCUUAUCAUACUGUUGAAGAGCUUUACAAACGUCCAGAUGAAGAAUACAAUGAAGGCACAAGUAGUGUUCAAAAUCGUGUUCGUUUUGAAUUACUUCCAAUUUUGAAAAAGGGAUUGUUUUUUGAUCCUGAAUUCUGGAACUUCAUAAUGAUUAAGAAAAACUGUGUAGCAUUACUGAGUGAUAAGUCAGCAGUUAGAUUUCUAAAUGAAAGUGCACUGGAAAAUUCUGCAGGUAAUGUAAAAAAGGCAUUGGAUCAGCACAGUUUAGAGGAAGGGCUUGACUCUCUUACAGAUCAGAGCCCUGGACAGCUUGAUCCUGAUGAUAUAUCUGGAGUGCAACCAAAAGGCCCUAUUAACGCAAAGAAAAACCUUACAGCUCUUAAUGCUUCCAGAGUAGAUCACAAUGUCCCAAGGCAUCGGUGUAUGUUAUGUAACAAGGAAUUUCUAGGUGGUCACAUUGUAAGGCAUGCCCAGGCUCAUCAGAAAAAGGGCAGUUUUUCAUGUGUGAUAUGUGGCAGGAAAUUUAGAAACAGAGGACUUAUGCAGAAGCAUUUAAAGAAUCACGUUAAGAAAAUACAGAGACAGCAAAUUGCUGCAGCUCAGCAAGAGGAUCAAGAAAAUCCUGCUUUAGAAGAAAUGAAUUGUUCUGAUACUUUCAUUUCAUUUGAAAAUGGGAAUUCUGAUAAUAAAGAUUUGGAAGUAGAGACUAUUACUGGUUCCAACAUAUAUGCAACAGAUCAAGAAGGAAAUUUUAAGUGCCCUGCUCUUGGCUGUGUCAGGAUAUUUAAAAGAAUUGGAUUUCUGAAUAAGCAUGCAAGGACUGUACAUCCAACUGAUUUAAAUGUGCGGCAAACAGUAAUGAAGUGGAGCAAAGGAAAAUGCAAAUUUUGUCAAAGGCAAUUUGAAGAUUCUCAACAUUUUAUAGAUCACCUUAAUAGACACAGCUAUCCAAAUGUGUAUUUUUGUUUGCAUUUUAAUUGCAAUGAAUCAUUUAAGCUGCCAUUCCAACUUGCUCAGCACACAAAAAGUCACAGGAUAUUUCAAGCUCAGUGUAGUUUUCCAGAAUGCCAUGAGCUUUUUGAAGAUCUUCCUCUGCUAUAUGAACAUGAAGCUCAGCAUUAUUUAAGUAAAACACCAGAAUCAUCUGCACAACCAAGUGAAGCAAUUCUUUGGGAUGUUCUUACAGACUCAAAAUCUAAUCAUCAGGAAAAAGACUCAUCUGGUAAUGAGAGACAGACUACUAGUCUGCCAGUUUCUACUAGCAAAUCAAGGAAAGAUAUUACAGAACCAAAGACAUGUAUAGAAAGUAUGGAAAAGAAAACAGACAGUUUAAUUCAGAAUGGAAAUGAACAUUCUGAUGACACUGUUUCUGAUACAAGCUUGACAGACCAAAAGAUGCCUGACAUAGAACCAAAUUCUGAAAAUAAUUGUAGUAUUAAUGAUUUAGUCAAUGGACACAGUGGAAUAGAGCAGACACCUUUAGUUUCAUCAGAUCCUGCUUUGAAAAUUGAUACAAAUAGAAUCAGGACAGAAAACGGUUCCAUUUUACCCAGUGUUGUACCACAAGAACACAAUACCCUGCCAGUAUCUCAGGCACCUUCCAAACCAAAUCCGACGAGCGAACACACUUCAUAUGGCUUAAUUUUAACAAAGCCAUAUGUCAGACCAUUGCCUCCCAGUUACCUUGAUGAACGGUACCUUAGUAUGCCAAAACGCAGAAAAUUUCUGACUGAUAGGGUAGAUGCCUGUUCUGAUCAAGAUAACGUUUGUAAAAAAUCAGUGAAAAGAUUAAGAUGUGGCAAAUGCCUGACCACCUACUGUAAUGCAGAAGCACUUGAGGCUCACCUUGCACAAAAGAAAUGUCAGACCCUCUUUGGAUUUGAUUCAGAUGAUGAAAGUAAGAAGCGACAUUGUUGGCGGCGUCCUCUCCCCCCAUUCUGGGGGUCGAGAUGACGGGGCUCAGCUACACGGAGAUGGAGGGCUGUCGUAACCUGCUCAGCCUAUUGGACAACGAUGAGAUCAUGGCCCUCUGCGACACCAUCACCAACCGUCUGGUGCAGCCUGAGGACCGCCAAGAUGCCAUUCGUGCAAUAUUAGUCUACAGUCAAAGUGUAGAAGAACUUUUGAGGCGAAGAAAAGUCCACCGAGAAAUCAUAUUUAAGUACUUGGCAACACAGGGUGUUAUUAUACCUCCAGCUACUGAAAAACACAAUCUUAUUCAGCAUGCAAAGGAUUACUGGAAAAAGCAGUUACAACCAAAAUUGAAGGAAACACCAGAGCCAGUUAAGACAGAGGACAUUAGACUCUCUGAACAGCAGGAGAAAGAAGAAAAAAACGCCGAAAAGGUUGAUUUUCGUCGAUUAGGUGAAGAAUUCUGUCAGUGGUUCUUUGAACUUCUGAAUUCUCAGAAUCCUCUUCUGGGACCACCUCAAGAUGAAUGGGGGCCACAGCACUUCUGGCACGAUGUCAAGCUUAGGUUUUAUUACAACACAUCUGAACAAAAUGUGAUAGACUACCAUGGAGCAGAAAUUGUGAGCCUUCGUCUGCUGUCACUAGUGAAAGAGGAGUAUCUUUUUCUCAGUCCCAACCUAGAUUCCCAUGGACUAAAAUAUGCUGCUUCUCCCCAUGGUCUUGUUAUGGUUGGAGUUGCUGGGACUGUGCACCGAGGAAACACUUGUUUGGGCAUUUUUGAACAAAUUUUUGGACUCAUCCGCUGCCCUUUCGUGGAGAAUACUUGGAAAAUCAAAUUUAUCAACCUGAGAAUUAUAGGAGAGAGUUCCCUUGCUCCUGGAAGAUUAAUGAAACCGGCUAUUACAUUUGAACCAAGUGACCUAGAAGCCUUUUAUAAUGUAAACACUUUAUGUGGUCCCGUGAAGUACAACUCCAUGUAAGGCAGGCACUGGACAGUGGGAUUGGAGACCAAGAUUCAUCUAGUGGAAGUUAGGCACUGUUGACCAAAAGAGAACUAAUUUUACCUAGCCCUUAAAGCACUGAGUACACUGUCAGUCUGAAAAAAUCUUCUAUACAGAAAUUCAUCCAAAUACUACAUCAGCAAUGUCUAAGUGAUUUCAUGUUGGGGGGUUGACAAAUUUUAGUUGAAAUGUCUUUCUUGACUACAAGCUAACAUAGUAUGUGAACACUUGCCUCUUUUCUACUUGAGUUGCAGCAAAUAUUCUGAAAAUUUCACAGAAUUCGUCAAAUAAAUCCCACUUGAGAUGUUGUAACUAACA